AUUACCGAGCGCGAUGCCACGCAGGGCGCCAGCCCCGCGUGGCCGACCCUCCACCCGUGCUGAUAUUUCAGGCUACUUUGGCGGGCCGGGCUCGACCUACCGGCUCCGGCCGGGAGCGCCCGCCAGAGACGCCCCAACUCGUGCUGUCAGUGAUGUCUGAGUUACAAUUAAUAAAGUAAAACUUUCAACAACGGAUCUCUUGGCUCUGGCAUCGAUGAAGAACGCAGCGAAAUGCGAUAAGUAAUGUGAAUUGCAGAAUUUAGUGAAUCAUCGAAUCUUUGAACGCACAUUGCGCCCCCCGGUAUUCCGAGGGGCAUGCCUGUUCGAGCGUCAUAACAACCCCUCAAGCCUAGCUUGGUCUUGGGGCCUGCCCGCUGGGCGGCCCUUAAACACAGUGGCGGUGCCGUCGUGCUCUACGCGUAGUAACUCUUCUCGCGACAGGGCGCUGACGGGACCUGCCGAAGCUCCAUCUCUCGGUUGACCUCGGAUCAGGUAGGGAUACCCGCUGAACUUAAGCAUAUCAAUAAGCGGAGGA
Molecule: ribosomal RNA, 535 nt
Filed under: Sawadaea bicornis
Lineage: Eukaryota; Fungi; Ascomycota; Leotiomycetes; Helotiales; Erysiphaceae
Description: eukaryotic LSU rRNA
Rfam family: 5.8S ribosomal RNA (bases 180-333)
Source: RNAcentral